This 483-nucleotide ribosomal RNA is filed under the name uncultured bacterium. RNAcentral describes it as "bacterial SSU rRNA". It matches the Rfam family "Bacterial small subunit ribosomal RNA", at positions 32 to 518 of the family's 1533-position model. The record is from RNAcentral.
AACGCUGGCGGCGUGCUAACACAUGCAAGUCGAACGAAGCAUUGUGAUUGAUUCUUCGGAUUGAUUCACUUGACUUAGUGGCGGACGGGUGAGUAACGCGUGGGUAACCUGCCGUAUGCAGGGGACAACAGUUAGAAAUGACUGCUAAUACCGCAUAACCCGCUAGUGCCGCAUGGCACAGACGGAAAAGAUUUUAUCGGCAUACGAUGGACCCGCGUCUGAUUAGCUUGUUGGUGAGGUAACGGCCCACCAAGGCGACGAUCAGUAGCCGAACUGAGAGGUUGACCGGCCACAUUGGGACUGAGACACGGCCCAGACUCCUACGGGAGGCAGCAGUGGGGAAUAUUGCACAAUGGGGGAAACCCUGAUGCAGCCAACGCCGCGUGAGUGAUGACGUAUUUCGGUAUGUAAAGCUCUAUCAGCAGGGAAGAAAAUGACGGUACCUGACUAAGAAGCCCCGGCUAACUACGUGCCAGCCGCUGC